GCCGCCACUGCUUUCGGAGAGGUCAUCCACAUGACGGACAAUUCUGCCCCUUUAGCGGAUAAUGCCACGAUCAACCGAGCAUGGUUUGACUGCCUCUUUAAAGAAGGAUACACAUGCACCGAACACCUUCACAAGGGACACUACAACAACUUCACAAUUCAUACACAAACUGUCCGAAAUAUGGACAUGUUCCUCGUCUGUGAGAAUGCCACCAUAACUAACACCUCCCUUGGGCUUAACGUGACUUGCCCAAAUGGGGGGAAGCUCACCAACACACUCAUGUCCAUCAACAUAACUAAUGAGACCCGGGUGUUCGUGCUCACGACACCCCCUCUGACCUUCUUGCCGGUAGGAACGGACAAGCCUUUUGCCGACUCGGAUUUCUUUCGGGCUGUCCUGAACCGGGGUAAGAGGGGCUUUGAAGUGACUGCUGUGGACUUCAUUGGGCUAGUGGCCAGUCUGAUAGAACAAGUGGAGAUUAGCACCCUCUACAAGCGAGUAGGCCUAGUCGAAGAUAAUCUUAGGGAUUUUAUGCAGCUCACAACCAAGGCCUGGAUUGCCCAACAAGACAUUAAUAAAUUGGUGACCAUAGAAUUGUCGGCCCUUACAUCGGCCGUGCAAGCCUUAGCCACCCUCAUACAGGUUAACUCCGUGCUAGAGGGCCUCCCUUGCCAUCAUGUACUACCCAGGCCAAUGUGCAUGACGGCCGCCGUGCACAACGCAUCCAGGGAGCUGGAUGAGGCAAUCCGGACCUUGAAUGAGCAUAGCAAUAUGUCUGACUAUCUCAGACGCCUAGAAGAUAUAGUACUACAGAUAAAGAAUGAGACAGACCAAUAUAAGCAGCAGAUACAAAAGGACCAUGGCAUUCUCCCCGAGUGGUUUAACCAGCUUAAAUUGUCUAAUUGGCUUAAUUAUGUACUGAGUAUGGGAAGCAUGGUUUUCUUUCUCUUGGUCAUGUGUAUAUGCCUCCCCUGCUUGCUAUCUUACGUGGUACGGCUUUGGCGUAUGGUCUUAGAGCAAGUAAAAGCGGAUAUAUUCCUGCGUAAACAAAAAGGGGGAGUUGUUAGGGGCGGUCGGCCCUAGACGCCUGAGCGGAUAGGAACCUCCCUGGGAGUGAGAGCCCCCAAUCCCAGAAAGACACGGCUCCCUACACGGGGUACGUGUAAGGAUGGGAUUGGGCGAGACUCUUUGCUCCAUACAGGUGGCAGGUUUCGCCCUCGGGGCGGAUUGGGGUGGCCACCCGGAAGACAGACCCUAUAUAGACCAACGCCCCAGCUUGCUCGGGGGGAUUCCUCCGCAAUUAAUAAAACAUAUGCCUCCCGAAGCAGUGUCUGACUGAGUCCCUGCCCGCCAUCCCCCGGGGAGGGAAUCCG
Molecule: long non-coding RNA, 1373 nt
Organism: Vombatus ursinus (common wombat)
Lineage: Eukaryota; Metazoa; Chordata; Mammalia; Diprotodontia; Vombatidae
Source: Ensembl